GACGAACGCUGGCGGCGUGCUUAACACAUGCAAGUCGAGCGGUAAGGCCCUUUCGGGGUACGACGAGCGGCGAACGGGUAGAGUAACACGUGGGUGGACCUCGCCCUCCAGCUCUGGGAGUAAGACCCGGGAAACCGUAGGGUCGUAAUACUGGAUAUGACUCCACGGUGCAUGCCGUGGGGUGGAAAGCCUUGUGCGGCGUGAGGAGUGGGCCCGGCCGGCCUAUCAGCUUGUUGGUGGGGUGAUGGCCUACCAAGGCGACGACGGGUAGCCGG
RNAcentral lists this ribosomal RNA (275 nucleotides) under uncultured bacterium. RNAcentral describes it as "partial 16S ribosomal RNA". It matches the Rfam family "Bacterial small subunit ribosomal RNA", at positions 28 to 290 of the family's 1533-position model. The record is from RNAcentral.